UGGAGGUUGCAGAAGUUGAAAAGCCUACAAAGAUGGGUGAAAGAAUGAGCAUGGCUUUCUGAUGGUGGUGGAAAGAUUUUUGGGUGUUUUGGAUCGAAAGAAGUGGCGUUGACAACAGUCAGCGUUUGCGAAACAAUCGAGGCGGAUGAUUUUGAACUAACUUGGCUACACCACAAGCAAAUAACUUAUCAGAUGAAGAGAUAGUUGCUAUAACAAAAAGAACUCAAGAUGGUGGCACGGAGGUUGUGGUGGCAUAGGCUGGAAAGGGUUCAGCUACACUCUCAAUGGCGAACAAUAUUUACUGAUGCAUGUUUGAAAGGACUUAAUGGGUCCCAUAUGUUAUGGAAAGCUCAUUUGUGCAAUCAAAUGUAACCGAACUACCAUUAUCUAAGCAAGCCCGUGGAACCCGAUUGGCUGUAUGAUUGUCUAGCCAAUUCUGGCAUCAUCAGGAUCACCAGAUCCGAGUGGCAAGAACCCUUCUAAUAGCCAGACAGGUCCCACCAUUGCCGAAAAAAGUUGUUUAUAAUCCUCUGGUUCUCAUACCACCAAGGGUUCUGCCCUUGCUUCAUGAUUUAGCUCAACAUAUGGCGCAUGCUGGUCACACUUAGCAGUCUUUGAUAAUUUACAGGUAGCCCAAGCCUGCCCCAGUUUAACCCGUACAAAAAUAUCUGCUAUGCCCUGAACCAGUUUUAGAGGAAUGUAUUGAGGCCCAACAAAUACUCUCUCCAUGCACCAAAUAU
Molecule: long non-coding RNA, 740 nt
Organism: Helianthus annuus (common sunflower)
Lineage: Eukaryota; Viridiplantae; Streptophyta; Magnoliopsida; Asterales; Asteraceae
Exons: 7
Source: RefSeq, a predicted model, not a curated record